This is a small nuclear RNA of 189 nucleotides. Its record names the gene U2. It matches the Rfam family "U2 spliceosomal RNA". Rfam says of the family: U2 is a small nuclear RNA (snRNA) component of the spliceosome (involved in pre-mRNA splicing). Complementary binding between U2 snRNA (in an area lying towards the 5' end but 3' to hairpin I) and the branchpoint sequence (BPS) of the intron results the bulging out of an unpaired adenosine, on the BPS, which initiates a nucleophilic attack at the intronic 5' splice site, thus starting the first of two transesterification reactions that mediate splicing. The record is from Ensembl.
AUCACUUCUAGGACUUUGGUUAAGAUCAAGUGUGGUGUCUGUUCUUAUCUGUUUAAUAUCCAGUGCAUCCUUUGUCCCAGGAUAAUAUAGUAAGUAGAUUUUUGGAGCAGGGAGAUGGAAUAGGAGCUUGCUCCAUCUACUCCACACAUUGACCUGGUAUUGCAGUACCCCAGGAAUGAUGCACUUCCU